GGUGAGUAACACGUGGAUAACCUACCUAUAAGACUGGGAUAACUUCGGGAAACCGGAGCUAAUACCGGAUAAUAUUUUGAACCGCAUGGUUCAAAAGUGAAAGACGGUCUUGCUGUCACUUAUAGAUGGAUCCGCGCUGCAUUAGCUAGUUGGUAAGGUAACGGCUUACCAAGGCAACGAUGCAUAGCCGACCUGAGAGGGUGAUCGGUCACACUGGAACUGAGACACGGUCCAG
Molecule: ribosomal RNA, 235 nt
Filed under: uncultured Staphylococcus sp.
Lineage: Bacteria; Bacillati; Bacillota; Bacilli; Caryophanales; Staphylococcaceae
Description: partial 16S ribosomal RNA
Rfam family: Bacterial small subunit ribosomal RNA
Source: RNAcentral